UCCUGUUCACCAUUUAAUAAUAUAUAAUUAACUGUAAGAUUAUAUUUAUUUAUUAAGCAUUUUUAGUUAGUUGAAAAUUGGGUUACCUUUAGGAGAUUCGAAAGGUAACUUUUUCGAGGUACUAUGCCACUCCAGUCAUAUUCAUGGUCUUUGUCUUUGAAGUAUUUGUCCACAAACGGAGUUGUGUCCACAAAGAAAAAAUCAGCUAUUUCUGAAAAAUUUUAAAAAAAAUUCCUUGAAAAUGUGAGUUUUAAUUUAUUAAUUAGAGAAAAGGAAAUAUGUAAAUUACCAGUGUCAACGAUAAAAGAUCUCAAGCAAAGCCAUUUGCUAUCAAUUUGUCUAAGGGCUGGACUCAAUUGUGCCUCAACAUCACCCCUAUAGUCAUGGUUACCCAAAACUACAGGAAAAUUUAUAAUCAUUCAAGAAUAAAUUAGUUAGUUAAAGCAUGAACAAAUAAUUAAAUAGCCAUAAUUUUUUAUGUUCUAUUUCUUUUUUUUAUUAUUUAUUUAUAAAUUAAUUAAGAGGAAGAGAUAUACCACUAUACCAUUGCUUCUGCAAGCUGCGUGCCGUGUAAAUUUUGGUGAAAGAUUCAUAAAAUGCAGGAUCAUCCACACCCGUUAAUCCAUUUUCAUAAAAAUUAUCUCCUGUCGAUAUUACAAAAUCGAUGUCCGAUUUCUCUCCAAUUAUUCCCAUCUGCAAACAUCAGUAUAAUUCCCAAUAGAUUAGAUAAUUCAACAAAAUUAUAUAUAUAUAUAAAAAAUAAAUUUAAAACUACAAAAAUUAAAUCCUGUUUAAUAUUUAAAUGCAGAAAUCAUAUUCUUUAAAUAUAUGGCAAAUUGGAUCUAAGUGAAAAUCAAGGAUAUAUUAUUUUAUACGUAAAGGUAACUAACACCAUAACCAUUAUUGUUUUGGGCGACAGAAGGAGAUGCUUUCCUACGAGGCUAUGAUCUCAUAUUCCUCCAUGAAAGGCCAAAGGCAUCUAAAUUCAAAAGAUUGGUAUAUUGGAACCCAAGUGGAAUUAUACUCUGUAAUGGAAUAACAAAAAAUAAACGAAAUGAUGAAGUGGCAUACACCCAUUGGAUGGAUGUCCCAAAUCACAUCAUUAAUUGGUUCCCGGUCAAUUCUACUUUGAAAAUUUUUGGCCUUGGCCUCGCAGCACCAGCAGCGAAGUUUCCUCCGCUACUGGAUACUAGUUCAAUAUAUCACCAGCUUUAAUAAUUUACAAGAAUCUAAACUAAAAAAAUGCAAUUUUUUUUUAAAAAAAAGGUAAAUUUCAAUAUUUCUAACGAUCGAGCAGUUUCUGAAGAAAAAUGCAUGCAAAUGUAAGGAAAGGGAUUAAAGAAAUAUAUAUGUUAGUGUUAUAACCUGAAGAGCAACGUGAGAUUGGUUAUAAGCUCCUUUUCUUCCCCAGUCUCCCACAACCAAGAGGCUAAGAGAUCCAUCACCUUUGGCUGCGUUUUGAAAUCGCUGAAGCUCUGCUGCGCAGAGAUUAAUGAUGCUGAACCCUAAAAGAGCAGAGAGCAUAAGGCUUGAAACCAUAAGUUCAGACAUGGGUAUGCUCGAAGGAGGAGAAGAAGAAGAAGAAGCUAGCUAGUGGAGAGAACUAAUAUAAUUAAAAAUAAUGCUUAAAGCUGGUGGUGAAGGAAAAGGACCAUUUUAUAAAGUUUGAAAGAGGCACAUGGCUGGUAUAAGCAACUAGCUAGGGAAGAAUUAUAUGGGGUGGUGGUGAAAAGAACGAGGGUAAAUAACAAAAACAAUAAUAAUACACACUCUCUCUUUAAUAUGAAUUAUUUAUGUUUUUGUAAAAUAAUACACGUGAAAAAAAUUAUAUUAAUAAAAAUUCAACAAAAUUUAUUAUUUUAGUUAAAUUAAUAUAUUAUUCCUUUCAUUUCAUAAUUUUUAUUCAUUUUUUAUUGUUUUAUAAAAAUUAAAAUAUAAUAAUUAUUUUAGUUAAAUUUAAAUUUUUUUCUAAUAACUUUUUAAUUUUCCAUCUAAUUUUUAUUGAGAUGAUAAAAGUAUUAUUAAUAAUAUAUGGUGUGAAUUAAAUACUAAAAAGUAAUAAAAAUAUCAUAUAUGUAAAAAAUAUGAUAGAUUUUAGCUACUUAUAAAUAUAUAUUGAAUUUUAUUGGUUUAGUAUAUAAACACUCAGGUGUAGGUAAGAAGUAUAUCCAAUUGCAGACAAGCCAAUUUUUUAUCACUAGUUCUUCAAUAAUUCAAUACAUUGUUUAUGUGGUCAAAUCUCUUAUUAUCUUCCAUUUCCUUUGCAUCUCUGAAAAUUUCCUUCUAUUUAGUAUAUCAACCUUUUCUACAAAAAUUAUUUUAAUGAUAUUGAUAAUUAAAGCUAAAAUUUGAACCACAUAAAAUAGGAUAUUAUCGAUCUCAUCUAAACAUGAAGACUUUCACCAUUGAAAUUCAGUUGUGUAUUUAGAGAAAAGUGCUAUUUUUUUUUUUCUUCAUAGUAAGUCUCUAUCAUCUAUUAAAUGGGACAGAAAACUUUUCCUCCUUUCCAUUAGGAGUGUGAAUUUCUCUCCCUACCUCUGAAUAGCUGGAUUUUUUUUUUUUUUGAUUUCUUCGUUUACUGGUAGUUGUGUGGUUAGCUGGAUAUUUUUCUUUUUGUUUCUUCUUUUGUUGGUAGUCGUAUGGUUAUUGAGAGAGGGAAAAGUCAUACCUUGUUGUUGGCCUAGAUUUGGGCUAAAUUUUAUUUAUAUGCAUGUGCUUUUAUCUUUUCAAAAUGAUUUUAAUUUCCUCUAAAUUUGAUAAUUAGUAUCUAACAGUGGCUCGUAGAGCUGAACUUCAAAAAGUGCACAUAGAUUAACAAAGAAUACAUUGCCUAAUAUUUGCUUCGAUUUAUGAAUAAUCUUAAUCUGGUAUUGGUAUACAACAUUUUUAGAGUUUAUUUAUUUGAAACAGAUACCUUUUCGGUCCGGUGUUUUUUAGCUCAUUUAAGUGUUGGAUUCGAUUAUAAAAUUAUACGUUUUUUUUAAAGUUUUAGUUAAAGUUUUAUGAUUUUAAGACUAUUGUGGUUAGAGUUCUUCUAGUCACGUCCGAUACAAUCGUGGACGAUCGAUGUUUUUUAAAGAUUACUAGGUGGAUUUGCUUCAGAAGGAUUUUCUCCAACGGGUCAAAUUCGAGUCAUGGAUGGACUAUUAGAAUUAAACUUGAAUGUUUAGUUUUUUUCAAGACCCUAAAAACUUUAUUGUAUGAUAAAAGGGUAAUUAGAUUUUGUCAAGAGUUUUAAUUAAUACCGUUUGACUAAAACGAUAUAAAAAAAAAAAGAUAAAUCGAAAAAUAAACAGUCUUAUUAAAAAUUUUUAAAUAUUUAAAAGUAUUUUUUUUAAUAUUAAAAAAAAUCUAUUUAUAAUAGAAAAAAAUCAUAAUAUAUAAAAUUAUAAAAACAUUAAAAAAAUAAUUAAAAUAUAAAACUAAUUUUCUAAACGAUUGUAAAAUUGACUCUUAGAAUAAUGUAAAAUAGUUUCCUAUCAUAAUAUAUAAAAUUAUAAAAAUAUUAAAAAAAUAAUUAAAAUAUAAAAUUGAUUCUCUAAACGAUGGUAAUUGACUCUUAGAAUAAUGUAAAAUAGUCAAAGGAAACUAUUUUUAACAGUGUCGUAUGUGUUGAUAUUAUAAAUUUUUAUUUUUAUUAUAAAGUUUAAAUUAAUUAUUACGUGUCAUUGAAUGUAUUAAUCUUAUAGGCUUUGGCCCUUUGUUCAAUGUCAAAGAAAAGAAAAGCUAUGUAUUUUCCUUUAAUUUUCAACUUAUACGUAUUUUCUUUUCAAGUCAAGUCUUUUCAUUAAUUUUUUUAGUCCUUUAUUCUCAUGUAUUCUUUAAUUUUUAAUGCAAAUUCAAUCAUUUUCCUUUAUAUUUUCACCGUUUUAAAUUCCAUUUCACUAGUUACGAGAUUUUUGCAAUUAAUUACAACUUAAAUUUGAAACCUCUCAUCCCUAAACAUGAUUAAAAUUUAUAUAUGUAUCAAAACUAAAUAAUUAUAAUACCAUUGAGUUACUUUUUUUCAUGUUUAUAUAUAUAAUCUGAAUUAAAAACUCAAAUGAAAUCCCAAAUUCCCUGAAAGAUAAUUGAAAAUAAUUGAAAACAUAAAAAAAAGCUACCCUUUUUGAAUUGGUAGUGUCUAAAUAUUCCUUCUCACAUGAACAAAGAUUUCCAGAGGUAGGAAGCAUCACAAUAAUUUCAGCAGCUUGAUUCUAUUGAUGCCCAGUGGACCAGUUUUGAUUGAAAAUAUCUUAUUGUCUAUCCAGUUUUUAUUUUAUAUAUAUUUCAGUUUUUAACUUUGUGUUUUGAAUUUAAAAUUUUAUUUAUAAAACUUUUUUAAAACCCAAGAACAUAAGAUACUUUGUAAAUUGGAUUACCAUUUUAUUAGAAUUCAAAAUUUUACAGUUUUAUAAAUUAUUUAAAUAUUUUAAAAAACUAAAAUUAAUUGAUUUUAUUACAUUUUGUAUGAUAAUUUUUUCUGCUAAUUGAAUUAAGAAAUACAUAAAAUUUCAGUUUCCUCCUUUUUCUUAGUUGCAGCAGAAGAACAAGUUCAAACAAUGGAGUAAGGAUGUUUAUUCCUGCUCCAUUUGUGCAUGAUGUGGCCAGAAACACCAUAGAACACAACAUCCACCUGAGUUUCAGUGAUCUCAACGGACAUGAAACCUUGACCAUCGUAAUAAAACUUCAUCUCCUUUGGAUUCCACCAAUCUACAUCUCCUCUCCAAGCCUUUGACCCUCCUCCACUCGUUAAAAAUUGAAGCUCACUGCAAUCAAUAUAUAUAUAAAUAAAUUAUUCAAAAUUUAUUUAUUAUUAUUAUCUUUGAUGAAUUAAUUAGAUGGCUACUACUAGUGAAAUUUUUACCUUUCACUGCAGCUUAUGUGCUCCAAGCAAUGGUCAUGCCCAUUUAUGUAAAGAUCUACAUUAUUUUCCUGAAGAUCAGAGAUGAUUAAAGGGUUCAUUUUUGUUCAAAAAAAAAAUGAUCAAAUUUAAUUAGAAGAAACCUACCACAAGGAUUGGGAGUAGUUGCAAGUUGAGCUCUUGGGUGUUUCCAUGGUGUCCAGCACUUUUGAUAGUAUGGUGGCCUACCACAAUCUUCCAUCUUGCUGUUGAUUCUUUUAAGGACUUAUCCAAAUCCUGUUCACCAUUUAAUAAUAUAUAAUUAACUGUAAGAUUAUAUUUAUUUAUUAAGCAUAUUUAAUUAGUUGAAAAUUGGGUUACCUUUAGGAGAUUCAAAAGGUAACUUUUUCGAGGUACUAUGCCACUCCAGUCAUAUUUAUGGUCUUUUUCUUUGAAGUAUUUAUCCACAAACGGAGUUGUGUCCACAAAGAAAAAAUCAGCUAUUUCUGAAAAAUUAAAAAAAAAUUCCUUGAAAAUGUGAGUUUUAAUUUAUAAAUUAGAGAAGAGAAAAUAUGUAAAUUACCAG
Molecule: long non-coding RNA, 5408 nt
Filed under: Manihot esculenta (cassava)
Lineage: Eukaryota; Viridiplantae; Streptophyta; Magnoliopsida; Malpighiales; Euphorbiaceae
Description: long non-coding RNA (MESC_LNC008992)
Source: RNAcentral